CCUACGGGAGGCAGCAGUGAGGAAUAUUGGUCAAUGGACGCAAGUCUGAACCAGCCAUGCCGCGUGCAGGAAGACGGCUCUAUGAGUUGUCAACUGCUUUUGUACGAGGGUAAACGCAGAUACGCGUAUCUGUCUGAAAGUAUCGUACGAAUAAGGAUCGGCUAACUCCGUGCCAGCAGCCGCGGUAAUACGGAGGAUUCAAGCGUUAUCCGGAUUUAUUGGGUUUAAAGGGUGCGUAGGCGGUCGGAUAAGUUAGCGGUGAAAUCCCGAGGCUCAACCUCGGAAUUGCCUCUGAUACUGGUCGGCUAGAGAGUAGUUGAGGUAGGCGGAAUUCAUGGUGUAGCGGUGAAAUGCUUAGAGAUCAUAAAGAACACCGAUUGCGAAGGCAGCUUACCAAGCUACUUCUGACGUUGAGGCACGAAAGCGUGGGGAGCAAACAGGAUUAGAUACCCGGGUAGUC
RNAcentral lists this ribosomal RNA (460 nucleotides) under uncultured bacterium. Its description in RNAcentral is "partial 16S ribosomal RNA". It matches the Rfam family "Bacterial small subunit ribosomal RNA", at positions 338 to 795 of the family's 1533-position model. The record is from RNAcentral.